AACUUACAAAAUCAGAGCCAAUCAACUACAUUUGAAAGAGUCAUGGACCUGACAUAUUGUACUAACCCUAGUGUAUUGUUGCCUUCAUUUGUUUUUAGUAAUUAUUGUUGUCUGGGUUGAUGUCUAAUUAAUAUAUAACCUACCGGUAUGUCUCCAUUUAUUAGAUCUACUGGUUCAACGGUCUAUGUGUGCUACUGCAAUCACUUGGUGAUUAAUGUGAUCCAAUUUUUUUUUUUACAAAAAUCUGCUUUGAAACCACUGAAUUAAUUUCAACCAAACUUUAACUGAUGCUGAGUUCACACGGAAUUCGAAUUUGAUUCGCAUUAACUAUUUCGAAUUAGUUUAAUUUGCAUUUGAAACGUUUUACGUCCUAACGUCAAUUCUAAUUCGAAUUACAAUGCAUGUCAAAUUCGCUUUACUGUCCUAACAUUGUUAACUUUUAAUUCGUAUUAACAAAAAGGUAUUUCUAAUGCGAAUUGGUUAAUUCGAAUUAGCCAAUUUGAAUCAAUUCGAAUUAAAACAGAAGAGUAUGUGAACGCGAUUAGCGAAUUCAAUUUACAUUCGAUUCGAAUUCAAUUCGACAUUUAAUGUACGUGUGAACGAGACAUUAAUGAUCCCUGAAAUGUCUAUAUAAAGUUUAUGAUUUUGUUUUAAACCCCAGCUAAAAAAUUUAAAAAUAAGGAUAAAAUACAUUUAAUAUUCAAUAGAGAACAUCUCACAAUGAUAAAAUACUCAAAAUGCCAAGGUAACCUUCCUACUUUGUGCACCAAAAAUGUCAGAGGACUCUUAUAGGAGUUAUUGACCUUACAUGAGAAUAUUUGACUGAUUUAAGAGUUUUUGUCUAGUCUCAUCCUGAAAACUAUCAAACAUUGGUAGAUACUGUGAACAGCGAAAAUGGUCAGUUAUUAAACUUUUAAGAUAAACAAUAUUGCUAUAAUGACUGGAAGCCUCUGAUGACUGGUAAUGGGCAUAAUUUGCUUUUAAUACUAACAUAGCUGUGAUACUCAAGGCCAAAAUAUUUGAAAAUCCAAAAACUUAUUAAAAAAAAUAAGAAAUGAAAAGCUUAUUAACCAUUAAGAAAUAAAACAAAUAUCUACAGUUUGACAAGGAAUCAGAGCUUUGUAUGAGGAGAUGUAUUCCUUAUUUUAAAAUGAUUUCUAAAACAAAUUUUCAAAUUUUGUAACACCAAAUUUCUUAACUUAAUAUCAGUAUUUAAAAAGAUCAUUUUACUUUACUAAUUUACAAAUUUUUGUCCAUUAUCUUCAAAACUAUAAUAGAUUUGAAGAAAUUUUAACAGCAAAAUAUUUUAUCAAUAGAAAAUCUACAAUAAAAAAAAUGCUCAUUUUUGAAUCCUUAGAUGGCUCCUAAAAGUAGUUAAUGCCCUUUAAUGCUGAUUAUUAGCCUACUUUAAUAGAAAGGCAAAUACUGUUAACAGCAAAAAUGAUAAGUCAACAUUACAUCUUUACACUGACAUCAGAAAUUGCAGGCAAGGCGUAGGGUUCUCCACCACCCAUAAUUUUUCAUACCAUGUACUGCCCAUUCCAAAAUGUUGUUGUCUUUUUGUCUUUUAUCAUUUGUGAUUAUUUUAAUGUAUAAUUAUAAAUUUGUUAUGAAUUUAUGUGCAUGUUUUUCCUCAUUUUUAAUAUAUAUUUUUUUAAAUAAAGUUUUACACAAUUGUUGUUUUUUGUAAUGAAUAAGGCUUAUGGUACUGUCAAAUCAUUGUGUAAUUCAAAUUAGAUAAAAGUGCUUCUCAAAAUUCUCAAUGUAAGUGUUUUGAUCUGUAGAUUUAAA
Molecule: long non-coding RNA, 1791 nt
Filed under: Mytilus galloprovincialis (Mediterranean mussel)
Lineage: Eukaryota; Metazoa; Mollusca; Bivalvia; Mytilida; Mytilidae
Source: RNAcentral